UUUCUCUGCCUUGGGUUCCCAGAGCUCUGUGCACAUUUCUCUAGAACUCCUGCUUGCCAUGUAACAUCCAUCUCCAAGUUCAUUUAUUGAGCAGACAGACAUCAGGUCUGGGUCUUUUUCACUCUGAAAUCCUCACUCGAUAAAUCCAGCUCCUGCCCCCAAUGCCCUCCACCACAGUAUUUAACUUCUUGACAAAAAGCCAGGCUUUUGGGCUCUGGGACAGAGUAAGUAAGCCACACCAACUGCCCUCAAGCAGCUUAUGAAAUUAAAAGUCAUAACCACUGCUCUAUAUUGUUUUUACAUAAACAAUAAUAGAUAACAUCUAUUGAGCACUCGUAGGCUCACUGUUUUAAGCCCUAUACACACAUUAUUUCAUUUAACCCUCCCAAUCAUUCUGUGAGGCACAUUACUAUCUCCAUUUUACAGAUGAGAAAACUGAGGCACUCGCUUCAUCAAGGUCACAAAACAGUAUCAGGACCCAGGAAGCCUGAUUCAGAAGUUUGCAUUCUUAACCACUAUGCUAUUAUGGACAGGGUGCUGCAGGGACAUAGAGCAGGAGUAUCUAGUCUUAGGGGCUGAGGGAAGGGUGACCCAGGGGCGGAGCUACCGGAGCAGAGCACUCUGACCAACAAGUAGAAGGUAGCCUGGCAGAUAAGAGAAGAGGCUUUCUAUGUAGAGGGGCUGGUGUCUGCAAAAACAAAGAAACAGGAAAUAGCAAGGUGUGGGCAAGUGCAGCCUGCAGUGCCAUCUUACUGCACCUUAAGGUCCCCACAGGAGACUCCGAUCAGAGAGAGCACUGCAAAUUGCGCUGGGAACUCAGCCUUUCCCAUGGGUAAUGGGAAGCCAGCAAAGGGUGGUAAGCAAGGUAGUGACACUGUGAGACUUGUGUUUUAAAGGGAUCACAAGAGUUACAGUUUGGAGAGUGGGUGCAGGCAGCCAGGAUUGGAAGUUGCUGGGAAGCCACUGCAAUCAUCUGGUGAGAAACACACCAACAAAAGUGGUAACAGAAAAAGAAGGAAGUUCGCGGGGCUAGGUCUCCUCUUAGAUGUGGGAAUUGCUAAGAUGUUGCCCGAGUUUUUCCCGCUAGGAUGGGGCGUGGCAGAGGAAGAAUGAGUCUGCAGGGGAAAAGGCCCUUCAAGUUCAAAUGCCAUGCGCUCCAGCAGAAGCGCAGCUGCCAAUGUGGCAGGAAGCGGGGUGGCCGAGUCUGGGGCUGCAGGGAGGGCUGCCCUUAAGUUGCAGGUCUGGGCGCGUCGCGGGUAGAGAGUGGAAGGGAGGAGAGACAGAAAGAAACAUCGAUGUGAGAGAGACACAUGGAUUGGUUGCACGCACACCUGACCUGGGGCCGGGGAUGGCGCCUGCAACCGAGGUACGUGUCCUUAACCUGAAUCGAACCCGGGACCCUUCAGUCCAAGGGCCAAUACUCUAUCCACUGAGCCAAACUGGCUAGGGCAAGGCGUUGACUCUUGGAUGAACACCAACCAGGUCUUCCACGUGGGGAGGGGACCUCCUCCCUUUCCUUGUCCCUGAAAAAAGGAGUCUCCGCACAGUUAUUUACAAAGAUUUAUUACAGCACAGGAGCGGUUCAGGUCUGGAGUCAGGGAAGAGGGGAAGGGGGCAGAGCAGCAGGAGGACAGAAGAACCUGGCUCCCCCCAACAUGCGCCCCCCCCCUCAAGGAUGUAUACUAGGUGGCAUUCCUGGCAUCAAAGCACAAACAAAA
Long non-coding RNA from Myotis brandtii (Brandt's bat), 1718 nucleotides. RefSeq lists it as uncharacterized. The record is from RefSeq and is a predicted model, not a curated record. NCBI's taxonomy places the organism in Eukaryota, Metazoa, Chordata, Mammalia, Chiroptera, Vespertilionidae. The transcript is spliced from 2 exons.